GUGAAAGUUUCCAAGGGCGCAUGGUGGAUGCCUUGGCAACAGGAGCCGAAGAAGGACGUGGGAAUCUGCGAUAAGCCUGGUGGAGUCGAUAACCGGACGUUGAGACCAGGAUUUCCGAAUGGGGAAACCCCGCACGACGUGUCGUGUGACCCCCCGGUUGAACACAUAGACCGGGUGGAGGGAACGUGGGGAAGUGAAACAUCUCAGUACCCACAGGAAGAGAAAACAAAAGUGAUUCCGUUAGUAGUGGCGAGCGAACGCGGAUGGGGCUAAACCGUAUGUGUGUGAUACCCGGCAGGGGGUUGCAUGUGCGGUGUUGUGGGCCCCCUCCUUGUCAUGUCUGCCGGCAUGGCGCAGUGAGGUGCGGGCAUAUAGACGAACCAGUGUGGAUGCUGGACCGUAGAGGGUGAGAGUCCCGUAGUUGAAAUGUGUUCCGCCGCUGUUGGGGGGGGUUGCCCGAGUAGCACGGGGCCCGAGGAAUCCCGUGUGAAUCUGCCAGGACCACCUGGUAAGCCUGAAUACUACCUGUUGACCGAUAGCGGAUCAGUACCGUGAGGGAAUGGUGAAAAGUACCCCCGGGAGGGGAGUGAAAUAGUACCUGAAACCAUGUGCCUACAAACCGUUGGAGCCUCCUUGUGGGGUGACAGCGUGCCUUUUGAAGAAUGAGCCUGCGAGUUAGUGAUACGUGGCGAGGUUAACCCGUGUGGGGAAGCCGUAGCGAAAGCGAGUCUGAAUAGGGCGAUUGAGUCGCGUGUCCUAGACCCGAAGCGGAGUGAUCUACCCAUGGCCAGGUUGAAGCGCGUGUAAGAGCGCGUGGAGGACCGAACCCACUUCAGUUGAAAAUGGAGGGGAUGAGCUGUGGGUAGGGGUGAAAGGCCAAUCAAACUCCGUGAUAGCUGGUUCUCCCCGAAAUGCAUUUAGGUGCAGCGUCACGUGUUUCUUCCCGGAGGUAGAGCUACUGGAUGGACGAUGGGCCCUACAAGGUUACUGACUUCAGCCAAACUCCGAAUGCCGGGAAGUGAGAGCGUGGCAGUGAGACUGUGGGGGGAUAAGCUUCAUAGUCGAGAGGGAAACAGCCCAGACCACCGGUUAAGGCCCCUAAGCGUGUGCUAAGUGGGAAAGGAUGUGGAGUUGCUGAGACAACCAGGAGGUUGGCUUAGAAGCAGCCACCCUUGAAAGAGUGCGUAAUAGCUCACUGGUCAAGUGAUUCCGCGCCGACAAUGUAGCGGGGCUCAAGUACACCGCCGAAACCGUGGCAUUCAGUUUUGCUGGAUGGGUAGGGGAGCGUCGUUCACGAGGUGAAGCCAGCGGGUAACUUCUGGUGGAUUGUGGACGAGUGAGAAUGCAGGCAUGAGUAGCGAAAGACGGGUGAGAAACCCGUCCGCCGGAUGACUAAGGGUUCCAGGGUCAAGCUAAUCUGCCCUGGGUAAGUCGGGACCUAAGGCGAGGCCGACAGGCGUAGUCGAUGGACAACGGGUUGAUAUUCCCGUACCAGUGAAGAACCGCCCAUGCUGAGCCGGUGAUACUAACCGCCCGAACCAUCCCGAUCCUCGUCUUUGACGGGGACGGUGGUGGGGAGCGCGGGACCUGAACCGGGGAGGCAAGCGCAUUAACAGGUGUGACGCAGGAAGGUAGCCGGGCCGGGCAAUGGAAAUGACCUGGUCUAAGGGUGUAGGGCUGCCGGUAGGUAAAUCCGCCGGCUGUGUGCCUGAGACCUGAUGGGCGCCCACGUGGUGGGUGAUCCGGUGAUCCUAUGCUGCCUAGAAAAGCAUCGGCGUGAGGUUCAAACUGCCCGUACCCUAAACCGACACAGGUGGUCAGGUAGAGAAUACUAAGGCGAUCGAGAGAAUCAUGGUUAAGGAACUCGGCAAAAUGCCCCCCGUAACUUCGGGAGAAGGGGGGGGCCCCAACCUUGAGCGCCACUCGCUGGUGUGAGGGGAUCGGGGCCGCAGAGACCAGGGGGGAAGCGACUGUUUAUCAAAAACACAGGUCCAUGCGAAGUCGUAAGACGAUGUAUAUGGACUGACUCCUGCCCGGUGCUGGAAGGUUAAGGGGACCUGUUAGCUUCGGCGAAGCGGAGAACUUAAGCCCCAGUAAACGGCGGUGGUAACUAUAACCAUCCUAAGGUAGCGAAAUUCCUUGUCGGGUAAGUUCCGACCUGCACGAAUGGAGUAACGACUUCCCCGCUGUCUCAACCGUGAACUCGGCGAAAUUGCAUUACGAGUAAAGAUGCUCGUUACGCGCAGAAGGACGGAAAGACCCCGUGACCUUUACUAUAGUUUGGUAUUGGUGUUCGGUGUGGCUUGUGUAGGAUAGGUGGGAGACUGUGAAGCGGGCACGCCAGUGUUCGUGGAGUCGUCGUUGAAAUACCACUCUGGUCACUCUGGAUAUCUAACUUCGGCCCGUGAUCCGGGUCAGGGACAGUGCCUGAUGGGUAGUUUAACUGGGGCGGUUGCCUCCCAAAAUGUAACGGAGGCGCCCAAAGGUUCCCUCAGCCUGGUUGGCAAUCAGGUGUCGAGUGCAAGUGCACAAGGGAGCUUGACUGUGAGAGUGGCAGCUCGAGCAGGGACGAAAGUCGGGACUAGUGAUCCGGCGGCUCGUUGUGGAACGGCCGUCGCUCAACGGAUAAAAGGUACCUCGGGGAUAACAGGCUGAUCUUGCCCAAGAGUCCAUAUCGACGGCAUGGUUUGGCACCUCGAUGUCGGCUCGUCGCAUCCUGGGGCUGGAGUAGGUCCCAAGGGUUGGGCUGUUCGCCCAUUAAAGCGGUACGCGAGCUGGGUUCAGAACGUCGUGAGACAGUUCGGUCCCUAUCCUCUGCGCGCGUUGGAAAUUUGAGAAGGUCUGUCCUUAGUACGAGAGGACCGGGACGGACGAACCUCUGGUAUGUCAGUUGUACCGCCAGGUGCAUGGCUGAUUAGCUACGUUCGGGAUGGAUAACCGCUGAAAGCAUCUAAGCGGGAAGCCGGCUUCGAGAUGAGAUUUCCUUGCCCCUUUGAGGGUGUGAGGCCCCCCAGCUAGAACACUGGGUUGAUAGGCUGGAUGUGGAAGCGAGGACUGAAGACUCGUGAAGCUGACCAGUACUAAUAGGCCGAUGACUUACACAC
This 3104-nucleotide ribosomal RNA is filed under the name Micrococcus luteus. Its description in RNAcentral is "23S ribosomal RNA". It matches the Rfam family "Bacterial large subunit ribosomal RNA". The record is from RNAcentral. Lineage: Bacteria; Bacillati; Actinomycetota; Actinomycetes; Micrococcales; Micrococcaceae.